UAGAUAGUAAUUACCUGCACCAUAUUCCGUUUUAGUAGUGAUUCUCAGUUUGUAACAUGAAUUUGUGACUUGAAGACUGAAGAAUCUAAAUGUUACAAUGGGAAAUAUAAUGAAUGGAGAUAAUUCUGUUAUUUUUGCUACAAAAUCGCUGAAGAAUAAUAUCUAAAACGUCGAAUAUUUCUAGUGAUCCAGACUUCUUCAAGACGUUUUUUCUUGCUUUAUUUCGUUUCCUAUUUGGAACUUCGGCGCAUCUAUCCUGCGAUAUUCGAGAUGUGAUUUCAUUUGUUUACGCAGAUGAUCCAAUAACAAAGACUUCCACAGGCAUAAGGUAGUGAAAAAUCUUCCAGGGACAGUUGUGGAUGGUGUUAACAAUCGAAUCCCUUAAAUGGUUUUUGGGCGAACAUCUAACAGCAUCAUGCAAAAUGGAAAAGUAAUUCCAGACCGUCCUCAAAGUUCGAAACAGGAGCACCAAGGAGAAGAAAGCAAAGUUGAGAUGGAGGAGUCGGUAAUCGAUUGGGUCCAAUAAAUGCAGACAGCUGUAGUCGGACGCAAGUCCAACUCUAAAUCUGGCAACAGGAAUUGAAGAGGAUUCGGAUAGUGAGCGUUUCUCAGAGCCAAUAACAAUCGCCUUUAGGGAAGUCCAAGUUCAGGAUGCUCUUAGUUUCAUUCACCCAAAUAAAAAUAGAUUUAUUCAUACAUUUAUCUUUUAAAAUGUUUGUCACAUUUUGCAUUCUCAAAGGCAAACUGACAGGAACUCAA
Molecule: long non-coding RNA, 759 nt
Organism: Argiope bruennichi
Lineage: Eukaryota; Metazoa; Arthropoda; Arachnida; Araneae; Araneidae
Exons: 3
Source: RefSeq, a predicted model, not a curated record